GACGAACGCUGGCGGCGUGCUUAACACAUGCAAGUCGAACGGAAAGGCCCUGCUUUUGUGGGGUGCUCGAGUGGCGAACGGGUGAGUAACACGUGAGUAACCUGCCCUUGACUUUGGGAUAACUUCAGGAAACUGGGGCUAAUACCGGAUAGGAGCUCCUGCUGCAUGGGGGGGGUUGGAAAGUUUCGGCGGUUGGGGAUGGAUUCGCGGCUUAUCAGCUUGUUGGGGGGGUAGUGGCUUACCAAGGCUUUGACGGGUAGCCGGCCUGAGAGGGUGACCGGCCACAUUGGGACUGAGAUACGGCCCAGACUCCUACGGGAGGCAGCAGUGGGGAAUAUUGCGCAAUGGGCGGAAGCCUGAUGCAGCAACGCCGCGUGCGGGAUGACGGCCUUCGGGUUGUAAACCGCUUUCGCCUGUGACGAAGCGUGAGUGACGGUAAUGGGUAAAGAAGCACCGGCUAACUACGUG
This 468-nucleotide ribosomal RNA is filed under the name uncultured bacterium. Its description in RNAcentral is "partial 16S ribosomal RNA". It matches the Rfam family "Bacterial small subunit ribosomal RNA", at positions 28 to 507 of the family's 1533-position model. The record is from RNAcentral.